RNAcentral lists this transfer RNA (78 nucleotides) under Dehalococcoidia bacterium. Its description in RNAcentral is "tRNA-Arg". It matches the Rfam family "tRNA". From Rfam's summary of the family: Transfer RNA (tRNA) molecules are approximately 80 nucleotides in length. Their secondary structure includes four short double-helical elements and three loops (D, anti-codon, and T loops). The record is from RNAcentral. Lineage: Bacteria; Bacillati; Chloroflexota; Dehalococcoidia. RNAcentral also lists the same sequence under 1 other name.
GCGCUCGUAGCUCAGUUUGGAUAGAGCGCAGCCCUGCGGAGGCUGAGGUCGUGGGUUCGAGUCCCGCCGAGCGCGCCA